AGCGAACGCUGGCGGCAGGCCUAACACAUGCAAGUCGAGCGGCCGUAGCAAUACGGCAGCGGCAGACGGGAGAGUAACACGUGGGAACGUGCCCAUCAGUUCGGAACAACCCAGGGAAACUUGGGCUAAUACCGGAUACGCCUUACGGGAAGGAUUAUCGCUGAUGGAGCGGCCCGCGUCUGAUUAGCUAGUUGGUUGAGGUAACGGCGUCACCAAGGCGACGAUCAGAGCUGGUCUGAGAGGAUGAUCAGCCUCACUGGGACGUGAGACACGGCCCA
RNAcentral lists this ribosomal RNA (278 nucleotides) under uncultured bacterium. RNAcentral describes it as "partial 16S ribosomal RNA". It matches the Rfam family "Bacterial small subunit ribosomal RNA", at positions 29 to 333 of the family's 1533-position model. The record is from RNAcentral.